This is a long non-coding RNA of Phragmites australis (common reed), 1472 nucleotides long. RefSeq lists it as uncharacterized. The record is from RefSeq and is a predicted model, not a curated record. The transcript is spliced from 2 exons. Lineage: Eukaryota; Viridiplantae; Streptophyta; Magnoliopsida; Poales; Poaceae.
CUCACUCUCUCCCUCUCCUCCAUCCAAUUUUCCCCAAUGGGAACAGCCGAGCGCACCACCGUUACAGCACUGCUGAGCUCCGAUCUCACCCACUGAGCGGCACACCGCCGAGCAGAGUGCUGAGCUAUUUCUCCACCACGUGAGCCCAUCUCUCCCUCAUUUCCUCUCUCUCGGCUGCAAACAGCAGCACCUCGCUCCUCCAUUUUUGACCACUGCGUAGAGCUCUUCUCUGCGCCAUCUCACCGCCUAUUCACCGUCCUCGUGCAGCUCCAGCCCACUCAGAAGCCUGGAGCAGCACGGGAGCGAGCUCCUCUACCGGUUCCCCACCUCCUCUCGUCGAUACCCCGCCGUUUCCGUUGGUUUCCCGUUCGGCCGCGCGCGCACAACCACCGCUCUGUGCAAACUUUCUCGCUCUCCUUUGUUCUGUCCUCAGCCAAGCAACAGAGAGCAGCGGCUGCAUCUCCUCCCUAUCUCCCUGUCCUCCCCUGCCUCUCGCUUUUCCUCUCGCGGCCGAGCGCCAGCAGUAAACUCCCCACUGCACACCAAAAACUCUCUGCCCAGCCGCGCCACCAUGAAAGCCAGCAUCGCCAAGCUCUUUCCACCCCAACCGAGCCUCUGGUCGUACUUAGGAAGGUCGUGUAAAGUUUUUUGCUUCAUUUCUCAUGAGAAUCCCUGCCGAAUCAAGCUCUCGCGCAUCGUUUUGCUCAGCUCCGACCGCGGCAACCGAAGCCCGCCAUUGCCGAAUCCGCUGUAACAGGUUGAGCUCCAAGUCAUUUUCUUCGGCUGUGGAGUCCUUCGGAUCUUAUGCCUCAGUGGCUUUGACUCAUCGCAGAAUCGCAGCCGAGCCAGUGCCGCUGUUUUCCCUCCCGCCGCCGGUGUCCGCCACCAUCGAUGAAGCUCCGUGCCGCCGAGGCAAACCGGGCAGCUCCUCCUCCGUCGACACUCCUGGGAGCUCGGCCGUGGUGCUCUGAAGGCGAUGCGUGCGCGGAUCUGGUCUUCCCAGAUCUCCAGCGACACUGCGCCGUCAGUCAAGCCGCCGCCUCGCCACCGUGAGGCCGGUCAAUGGCGAGAUCUCCUCCCUGUGCCGAUUUGACCGCAGUCAAAAUGCUGACCAAGGUCCACACGAGACCGGCCUCAUUGUCUGUCUCAAUGUGUAGGUUCAUUUCGGUGUGAAAGGUGAAGUUUAGGUGCCGACUAUUUUUGCAUCAUCGAGAGCUGUGUUGUGAUGAGUAGUUGAUAUACUACUACUAACCUUAGUCGGUUGCCUUGUGAACAAAUGAUGUCACAUUUUUUUAGUUUCUUUUAAUCGAUUCGUCAUUUAUGUAUAACCGUACAAGAUAUUACUUUAUCACUUUAUUAAUAAUCUAGUGUCCUUUCUUGUAGAUUGAGAGGUCAUAGAAUUCAUUGUAAUAUAUAGAGCCUUAUUAAAUUAUCAACGUUAUCACAUGAACAAGAAUAGUAAUUAAAUUUCA